AUCGAACCCGGGACCACAGGAUCACAAGUCCAGUGUGCUGUCCGCUCGGCCGACCGGCUCCCGUGGCUGGCUGGCUAAUCUGCGUAUCUUCCAGACCCAGCAAUUAAAAUAAAGAUAUCGCAAUCGCUAAUUUGUAAAUGCUGAAAUCUAUACGAGCUCGCGAAAAUAGUAUAUGCAACGCAUUUCAAAGAAAACGUUUGCAAAAAGGCUAAAAAAAAAAAAAGUUUCAAUCUAUAUAAUGCCUUUUUUUUCCAUAGAAUUAAUGCCGGAAAAAAAGACCAGAUUGACAAAAAAAUAUUAAGAGCAUUCUGACCUUAAGAGUUUGCUACAAGGAACCAAAGGUUUUUUGUGUGGCAAAGAGCCAAUGACCAAGAAGUGGGCGGAGCCAGAGGGCGAGCGGAACUAUGGAACCCGGGUAUAUAAGGAGCUGCGCCUUGUCCCUCCUACACACACUCAACAAGAAGCCGUCAACGCUAACUCUCCUCCUUCAACAUGAAGUUUUUGUGCCUUGUGGUGGUGGUGGCCCUGGCCGCCCUGAUGGGGUCAGCCCGAGCUAUGCCUGAACCCUACGCCCUGGCUGACCCUGACCCCGCGGCUGACCCACAAUUUGGAUUUGGUGGAUUUGGGCGCGGCUUUGGAGGCGGCUUUGGUGGGCGCGGCUUUGGAGGCGGCUUUGGACACCGCGGCUUUGGAGGCGGCUUUGGACACCGCGGCUUUGGACACCGCGGCUUUGGAGGCGGCUUUGGUCAUCGCGGCGGUUUCUUCGGCUAACCUUCAACUGUACACCACCCUCGACCUUCUCGCUAGCAAUGGAUCCUGACAGAAAAACGUAUAACAUCAAACCAAUUUACGAAUCCACGUUAGAAUCCAUCUGAAUCCACCAAGCUAACAACCUAAUACAAAAAUCUACGACAAUUCCGAGCCUCCAGCGCGGCAAGAGAUCGCACUGGAGGGAUUCUGGACAACCUUUACUGGCCCUAUCAUCCAGCUCUCAACCUCAGCCUCCACUACACUAGAGGAAUCUUGAAUCUCAAGAUCAAUAAACUUCUGAUAUCUAGGUAUUGUCCAACUGAUUCUUCAGACAUUACUGUUACAAAAAAAUGCUUGGGGAAAAUAAAUGUAUUUUUUCAUA
Molecule: non-coding RNA, 1132 nt
Organism: Procambarus clarkii (red swamp crayfish)
Lineage: Eukaryota; Metazoa; Arthropoda; Malacostraca; Decapoda; Cambaridae
Source: RefSeq, a predicted model, not a curated record